GACGAACGCUGGCGGCGUGCUUAACACAUGCAAGUCGAACGGAAAGGCCCUGCUUUUGUGGGGUGCUCGAGUGGCGAACGGGUGAGUAACACGUGAGUAACCUGCCCUUGACUUUGGGAUAACUUCAGGAAACUGGGGCUAAUACCGGAUAGGAGCUCCUGCUGCAUGGUGGGGGUUGGAAAGUUUCGGCGGUUGGGGAUGGACUCGCGGCUUAUCAGCUUGUUGGUGGGGUAGUGGCUUACCAAGGCUUUGACGGGUAGCCGGCCUGAGAGGGUGACCGGCGACAUGGGGACUGAGAGACGGAGCAGAAGCGAACGGGAGGCAGCAGUGGGGAAUAUGGCAGAAUGAGGGGAAGCGUGAGACAGCGGCGCCGGGUGCGGGAUGACGGGCUUCGGGUUGUAAACCGCUUUGGAAUGUGACGAGGCGGGAGUGACGGUAAUGGGUAAAGAAGCAACGGCUAACUACGUG
Molecule: ribosomal RNA, 468 nt
Filed under: uncultured bacterium
Lineage: Bacteria
Description: partial 16S ribosomal RNA
Rfam family: Bacterial small subunit ribosomal RNA
Source: RNAcentral